This is a non-coding RNA of Pogona vitticeps (central bearded dragon), 284 nucleotides long. The record is from RefSeq and is a predicted model, not a curated record. NCBI's taxonomy places the organism in Eukaryota, Metazoa, Chordata, Lepidosauria, Squamata, Agamidae.
UGUGCUACAUCCUAGUGGGCGUGUAGAAACUGAACUUGCACUGACCUUCUCUCUACAGUAUCCUCAUUUCUUGAAAAGAGAAGGCAACAUACUUCAAAUAAUGUUGCAGAGGAGGAAACGAUAUAAAAACAGAACAAUUCUUGGCUACAAAACAUUGGCAGUGGGAACUAUCAACAUGGUGGAGGUAUUGCAGCACCCAACAGAAGGAGGCCAAGUUCUGAGCCUUUUUAGCAGUAUCAAAGAAGUUACGAUCAAAAUAGCAGAAAUCUGGAUCUUCUCACUUU